AACGUAGGAGGCGAGCGUUAUCCGGAUUCACUGGGCGUAAAGCGCGUGUAGGCGGCUCGUCAAGUCGGUUGUGAAAGCCCCUGGCUCAACUGGGGGAGGUCAGCCGAGACUGAUGGGCUUGAGGGUCAGAGAGGAAGGUGGAAUUCCCGGUGUAGCGGUGGAAUGCGUAGAGAUCGGGAGGAACACCAGUGGCGAAGGCGGCCUUCUGGCUGACAGCUGACGCUGAGACGCGAAAGCGUGGGUAGCAAAC
This 250-nucleotide ribosomal RNA is filed under the name uncultured bacterium. Its description in RNAcentral is "partial 16S ribosomal RNA". It matches the Rfam family "Bacterial small subunit ribosomal RNA", at positions 524 to 773 of the family's 1533-position model. The record is from RNAcentral.